UAGAUACUACUGUGAACCGUUUUUGCC
This 27-nucleotide non-coding RNA is filed under the name Bombyx mori (domestic silkworm). Lineage: Eukaryota; Metazoa; Arthropoda; Insecta; Lepidoptera; Bombycidae. The record is from RNAcentral.